RNAcentral lists this small RNA (859 nucleotides) under Pan troglodytes (chimpanzee). RNAcentral's name for it is "processed transcript". Lineage: Eukaryota; Metazoa; Chordata; Mammalia; Primates; Hominidae. The record is from RNAcentral.
CAAGAUGGCGGACCGUGGCGGCGUGGGUGAAGCCCCAGCUGUUGGAGCGUCUCCUGCAUCUGUCCCUGGCCUAAACCCGACGCUAGGCUGGAGGAAGCGACUGCGGGCCGGGCUGGCGGGGACUGGGGCCUCGUUGUGGUUCGUGGCGGGGCUGGGGCUGCUUUACGCUCUGAGGAUCCCUUUGAGGCUGUGUGAGAAUUUGGCAGCGGUGACUGUAUUUUUAAAUUCAUUGACACCCAAAUUCUAUGUGGCACUUACAGGGACCUCUUCAUUGAUAUCAGGACUAAUAUUUAUAUUUGAAUGGUGGUACUUCCAUAAGCAUGGCACAUCUUUUAUUGAGCAAGUAUCUGUAAGCCAUUUGCAACCACUGAUGGGAGGAACAGAGAGCAGCAUUUCAGAACCAGGUUCUCCUUCGAGGAACAGAGAAAAUGAAACCAGCAGACAGAAUUUGUCAGAUACACUUGGGUGACUGGUAAAGAGCCACUUACAUACUAUGACAUGAACCUGUCAGCUCAGGACCAUCAGACCUUUUUCACCUGUGACACAGAUUUUUUACGUCCUUCAGACACAGUUAUGCAGAAGGCUUGGAGGGAAAGAAAUCCUCCAGCUCGAAUCAAAGCAGCCUAUCAAGCUUUAGAAUUAAACAAUGAGGAGAGAUACCAAUGUACUGGUAUAUAUUAAAAGAAGAUUGGCAAUGUGUGCAAGAAAAUUAGGAAGAAUAAGAGAAGCAGUAAAAAUAAUGAGAGAUUUGAUGAAAGAAUUUCCUCCUCUUACCAUGUUGAACAUCCAUGAAAAUCUCUUAGAAUCACUUUUAGAAUUACAGGCCUAUGCAGAUGUUCAGGCAGUCCUAGCAAAAUAU